UCGAGUUUGUUCUGUUUCAAUCACUAGUUCUCAAAAAAACGCAUCUAUGCGCAUAAUCACCACGUAAAUCCGCUGCAAAAUCAUCUAGAGAUGAGCCUGUAUCAUUAUUUUAUAUUAGGGAGGGGAGGGACAGCAGUAUAUUGGUAAAAACAUGAAAAAUAUGAAGGAUUCUGCCUUUCGUUACCAUGGCAACCAAGCUGAAAAUUAUAGUGAGGUGGUUAAAAACAGCUCCUGACAGAACAAUUUUUUAAAUUUAAGCAAAUAAAUACUUUCACAACAUCAAUUACAUGUCACAGUAACUAUUUAGCUCAAAAAAUGAAAAUCCAUUUUUUCAAAUGAUUCCAUGUGUACCCCCCCCCCCUUAAGGUUUU
Paramuricea clavata is the source of this 371-nucleotide non-coding RNA. The record is from the annotation of a GenBank genome assembly. Lineage: Eukaryota; Metazoa; Cnidaria; Anthozoa; Malacalcyonacea; Plexauridae.